GGUCUGCGCGGAAGAUGUAACGGGGCUAAACUAUGCACCGAAGCUGCGGAUUCAUCUUAGGAUGAGUGGUAGGGGAGCGUUCUGUAAGCGGUUGAAGGUGUACCGGGAGGUAUGCUGGACGUAUCAGAAGUGCGAAUGCUGACAUGAGUAACGAUAAUGCGGGUGAAAAACCCGCACGCCGGAAGACCAAGGGUUCCUAUCCCAUGUUAAUCAGGGUAGGGUAAGUCGACCCCUAAGGCGAGGCCGAAAGGCGUAGUCGAUGGGAAACGGAUUAAUAUUUCCGUACUUGGUAUAAUUGCGAUGGGGGGACGGAGAAGGCUAAGCAAGCAUGGCGAUGGUUGUCCAUGUGAAAGUGAGUAGG
RNAcentral lists this ribosomal RNA (361 nucleotides) under Pseudoalteromonas sp. S983. RNAcentral's name for it is "partial 23S ribosomal RNA". It matches the Rfam family "Bacterial large subunit ribosomal RNA", at positions 1156 to 1524 of the family's 2925-position model. Lineage: Bacteria; Pseudomonadati; Pseudomonadota; Gammaproteobacteria; Alteromonadales; Pseudoalteromonadaceae. The record is from RNAcentral.